This 268-nucleotide unclassified non-coding RNA is filed under the name uncultured fungus. Its description in RNAcentral is "partial contains 5.8S ribosomal RNA, internal transcribed spacer 2, and large subunit ribosomal RNA". Lineage: Eukaryota; Fungi. The record is from RNAcentral.
AACGCACAUUGCGCCCCCUGGCAUUCCGGGGGGCAUGCCUGUUCGAGCGUCAUUUACACCCCUCAAGCAUAAGCUUGGUAUUGGAGGCCGCCUCAACCCCUUCGGGGGAGUGGCGCCCCCGAAAUGCAGCGGCGGUGCGGCCGAGUCUUCCUAGCGCAGUGACUUUUAAAUUCUCGCUACAUGGAGCUCGUCUUCCCCGGCCGGACAACAGCACCUAAUUUCUUAAAGAAUUGACCUCGGAUCAGGUAGGGAUACCCGCUGAACUUAA